GCCAAUUCCAAUUCUCAUCAGCCUCUGAGAGGCCCCUGGGUUUGCAGCUUUGCUAAACAAACUAGGAUCAAGAUUCUUGAAGCAAACUGGACCCAACCAUCUAUGGUGCCAACGCCAAGAACAUUACACACAUUAUCAAUAAACCAUCCAUCAUCGUUGUCUUCUCCCCCAAUCUUCAAGAUAUCGCGCCACCAAAUUAAUUGUCUGCUAGUGAGAGUAUUUGUUAGCAUCCUACAGAAGUGACUUGUAUUUGUUAGCAUGUGGUGCAAAUAUAACAAAUUAACGUUGUGGAUCACGGGUAGGAAGUGGAUUUUGGCAUAUAAAGUAAGCAGACAUCAUAGGUUGUAGAUUCAAUAUUUCCCUCACCAUUUUCUUUUAUAGUUUUCGGAAACAGAUCUAGCAUUUUUCAGAAAUUACGAAAAUGUCAAAACACUAAUUUCAUUGUUUCUGUAAAUACAUUCUUCCUAACUUGCCUUCUAUCACAAUUGUUCAUGACAUAAGUCUGUUAUCUCCUUGUUAGCAAUUAAAAGGAACAUGACAUAACCAUGUUAAAUUUG
This 557-nucleotide long non-coding RNA is filed under the name Trifolium pratense (red clover). Its description in RNAcentral is "long non-coding RNA (TPRA_LNC010766)". The record is from RNAcentral. Lineage: Eukaryota; Viridiplantae; Streptophyta; Magnoliopsida; Fabales; Fabaceae.